UACAGAGGUGGCAAGCGUUGUUCGGAAUUACUGGGCGUAAAGGGCGCGUAGGCGGCCUUCUAAGUCAGACGUGAAAUCCCCCGGCUUAACCUGGGAACUGCGUCUGAUACUGGAGGGCUUGAGUAUGGGAGAGGGAUGUAGAAUUCCAGGUGUAGCGGUGAAAUGCGUAGAUAUCUGGAGGAAUACCGGUGGCGAAGGCGGCAUCCUGGACCAUUACUGACGCUGAGGCGCGAAAAGCUAGGGGGAGCAAACAGG
This 255-nucleotide ribosomal RNA is filed under the name uncultured bacterium. Its description in RNAcentral is "partial 16S ribosomal RNA". It matches the Rfam family "Bacterial small subunit ribosomal RNA", at positions 524 to 776 of the family's 1533-position model. The record is from RNAcentral.